Molecule: non-coding RNA, 26 nt
Filed under: Mus musculus (house mouse)
Lineage: Eukaryota; Metazoa; Chordata; Mammalia; Rodentia; Muridae
Source: RNAcentral
UCACUUCAGAAACUCUGGGUGUGGGU